GCCUGAUCUUUUGAUCAGGGAGGAAUUCAAAAGAAUGCCCCCUUGUGAUGGCUGCGCUGUCAAGUACAUGGAGCUUCCCUCGAGGAUUUUCUGAGCCUUGUGGAUGUACCGUGAGCCUCGCUGCCUGGGGAGUAAGGCGGCGGAAGCAGUCUCUGGGGGGACCCAUGCCCGCAGCAUUUCUGGAUGCUAAAGGUGGCUUUAAGGAAGGCCCAGCUGAGUGCCUCGUGGAUUCCUGCAGCCUGGAUGCCUGCGGGGGACAGAAGACCGAUGCUUCCUGCCCUCAUCACCCAGGAAUGUCGGGAGGGGGCUCCGCCAAUUCCCUGAAGGGCUCCCAGUGAAACGCACACACCACACGCCGGUCCCGAGGGCAGCCUGCAUCCUCACGGCCCCCUGGGAAGAUGGGUAGCGCUCAUCCAUCGCAUGCCUGAAAGGACCCCCUUCCUCAGUGCACUCGACUUCCUGUGAUGGCUGUGGUGUAAUCUGAAAAAAAGCAGAUCCGUUCAGAACUCCAGAAGGACUUGAAAACUGUCCUGCCCCGAACGAAAGCUGGAAUAUCGUGGGCUUUGAUGAACCAAGGAAAAGUGCCUUCAUCAGGACGCAGCAGUAAGCCUGCUGACUACUUAAGCCCUGCCUAGGUUCCUAGGAAAUGGGCAGGAAAAGUGCCUGCCACCUGCUGCUUGCUGGUGUGCUGUUUUGGCAGCAGGAGCUGUGGGAACACACAGGGGCAGGAGAACAAACACAUUACACACGAGGACUUCCAUCCUCCAGCCAGCAAGGUGCCGACACCUCACACUUGCACUUACUGUGCGGCAGGCACCGUUCUCUGCGCCUGGGAUAAAAGGAUGAGGGACAGGUGGUGCUGCAGGAGAAAUGCAGGGCACCAGGUGGUUGGCUUGGUAACAGCUCCCCAAAGAUAGCCACAUCCUCACUCCCGGAACCUGUGACUGGCACCUUUCGUGGCAAAAGGGACUUUGCAGACAUGGUAAGUUAAGGAUCUGAGCUGCACCAAACUGGACUAAAUGGAGGAGGGUUAAGUAAACUAUAAUUCUCCACCUGGUGCAAUAUUAGGAGAUCCUUGAAACGAUCAUUUUCGAAAUUCCCGUUCCAAACGGUCUUAGAACUCUGUAUCUUCCUCUUGUACGACUUACCAUGAUUUUUAAUAAUUUAGCUGCCCGGUUACUGAAUUAAUGUCUGUUUCCCCUACUCCUUUGAUGGGGACAGUGCCCUUUUUGCUCACCGUUUCCUCUCAGCUGCCCAGCAUGGUGUCUGGCUUAUAGCAGGUGCAAAAUAAAAUUGGUUGAAUACAUGCCAAAUAAGGAUUUUUUAGAUCCUUGAAACAACAGGCUGAGUGAACCAAGCAAAGCACAUCUGAGCACGAUGUGAAAAUGGAAAUGCAUGUGCAUAUAGAUGACUUCUAGAAGGCAGCUCUGGGAAUGUCACGUGUUUAUGCCAGUAUGGUGGGACGCAGGGCUGAGACUUGUUCUUCCUGCUUUAUUUCCUCCAUGCUGUGCUUAUGCCCAGGGGGCCCUCCCUGUCCAUCCCAGAGGCUGCGCCUCUUGCAUCCCACUUGCUUCGGGUCUAGGAGAAGAGGAACAUCCACUUGGGGUGGGAAGACUUGGUUUGGAAGCUGUCACUCUCCUUCCUUCACCUGCUGCAGGACACUGAACAGUCUUCGAACCCCUCAUAGCUUAGUUGCUUCAAGUUGAAAAUGUGAUAACGGUACCUGCGCCCCUGCGUCUCUCUAACGAAAUGCUGUAACAAAUGCCUUGUGGAUGGGCGACCCCGCUGUAAAGUGUUCCAGGGCUGGCUGCUCCCCAUCCUUCUCUGCCGUGACACCUGAGCCCCUGGUACUCUGCGGAGCCCUGCAGCUGCCCGCAUGCCCCGUGGACUGAAGGCGAAUGUGUGGCUCCACGGAGGUGCUCGGUGCACUUAGGGUUCCUACGUAGCCAUCUGAGAAUCCCUCUUGAAGGUAAACAGGGAGAUGACAGCUAAUUAACUCAGAGUGCUUCCACGGUGCUCAGCCCUACUGCUCAUUGACUGGUCCAUCAGUCAUCCAGCAGUCUUUACUGAGUGCCUACUGCAUACGGAUUGUGUCUUCAAUUAGCCCUCAGUGGCUGCUGACGCCACCCAGACUCUGAACUUGGAGGCAGCACGAGAGUCUCUGGACAUCUUGUGCUCAGGCUGCUGAGGGAGAGUCAGGGCGGUUCACCAAGGGGCUGAGGGGAGCCUUCCGACCUUGGAAGGGGACUUUUUCAUCCAGGGAUCCAGGCCGACUCUCCCCCUCCUUUUCUUCCAAAGGGUCCUUGGCAAGGUGUUAGAGGCUGGGUGCAUUUCCCAGGGCUGACAUACACGACAGAAAUGUGUUCUCCCACAAUUCCAGAGGCCAGAAGUCCAAAAUCAAGGUGUUGGCAGGGUCAUGCUUUCUCUAAAGCCUGUAGGGUAAGGGCCCUUCCUUGCCCCUUCCUAGUUUCCAGUGUCACCAGCCGUCCUUCGGGCCCUUGGCUCCCUCCAGUCUCGGCCUCCGUCCUCACUUGGGCUUCUUCUCUCUGUGAGUCUUUGCGUCCCUCUCUCCCUGGAAGGACCCCGGUCAUUGGAUGUAGUGCCCACCCUAAUCCAGGAUGGCCUCGUCGUCCCUUGAUUGCAUCUGCAAAGACCCCGAUCUCAAAGUAAGAUCACCCCAAGUACACAAAUACUUAGAUGGGGUCAGGAUUUCAGUGUAUCUCUUUGGAGGGAUACAGUUCAACCUGUAGCAGAGCCCAAAGCAAAGCCAGCUCCUCCACGUCGCCCCGCCCCAGCGCAGUUGGCUCAGGGACCACUGCUUGGCUGCAUAGACGGAGGGCUUACUUGCUGAGAGGGACUGGGCAGCGCCCUUCCCAUUCGUUGUCCCGUUCUAUUCGAGGCAGUCUUGCGGUGCCUUAUGCAAAAAAUACUCAUCAGACCUGGCCCUGGAGGUCUGCGUGCCUGGCCCUGGAGGCGUGAAAGAUCCCUGAAGCCCUUGCCCACAGGGAUCUUAACGUCUUUAAUGCAGUGAAGAGGCAGGGAUGUGGGAAUAAGCAGUUCCAGUCGUUGCCACUUCUGAUGAAAAAGCAGAGCUCUGCGGGAGAGAACCUUCAGCUCAAGGUCUCGGCCCAGACAGUGACAUCACAGAGCCGCCCCCACCCCACCCCACGGCCCAUGGGUGGGGAGGCAAGGAGGCUCCGAGAAGACCUUGCAGUCGGGGGAGGAGCAGCGGGGGUAGGGGGGCGGGAGUGCGGGGAGAAGCUGGGCUGCAGGAUGGGGAAUGAAGCCCCCUUGACUGGCCGCCCCCUGGGCACCAUGUGUGGGCCCCUGGGAGGGAGGCUUUCUUCCUUGUGCCUGUGGUCAGAUCCCGCAUCUCCUUUCUGUCUUUGUUCUCUGGAUUCUUCCUGCCUUGGGUGUGUGAAAAGGGAGCCUCUUGGCAGCGUGCUCUGCUCUUAGAGGGUGCCACGCACCUGCACCCCUCUUCCCUCCCUCCGGCCCCUCCGCCCGCCCUCCUCCUCCCUCCUCUCCUUACCUGGCCGCCACCUGACCCUCCUCCUCGUACAACUCGGUUCAGAGAAUAAUCCACAGCAGCUGCCUUAGAGAAUCUUUCAAAGACACGCACCGGCCUGUGCCCUCCUUUCUUUCAGUGAAUACCCUUCAGCCACCCCCCACACGUGGUCCUCAGGUUCGUGCACUCAUGUCUUCAUGGUCAUUACUUGGUUUCUAAGGCUCUGGUGGGCACUGGCUGGGCUUCAGGAAAGGCCCCAUCUGGGCACUGAGAGAUGGGCAGGCAUUCCCUACCCCCGCCCUGGGGAGAAAUGUGGUCCAGCCACAAAGAGCAGGAGAGACUCAGAGGAGACAUGGUGUAGAGCAGGUCCUGGCUCUUGCUGUUGAGAUGAGACCAUUCGAGGCCUCAAAGCAGAUCUGACUUGUGCUUUAACUCAGUCAUUCUAGCUGCUGCUGCACUGGAAAUGGGCUGAAAGUGGCAAAGGUGGAAGCAGACGGACCAGUUAAGAGACUGCUGCAGUGAGCCAGGGAAGGGACGAUGGUGGCCUGGCCUCGAGGUCGCAGAGGGGGUUAUGAGAAGUGAUGGGAAGUGACUAUGUCAGGAAGGUAGACUUUGCUGGUGGGUUGGGUACGGGGCAUCAAGUAAAGGGUGAUCCCAGAAGUUUACUUUGAGCAAGUAAAGAAUGAAGUUUCCAUUUAUUCAUAUAAGGGACCCGUGAGGGGAGCAGGGAGUUCGGUGGGCAGGGGCGGAAUUGAGAUGGUUGAGAUGUUAGACAUCGUUAGACAUACAGGUAGAGAUACUCGGAGAGCAGCUGGAUGUGUGAAUCUGGAGUGUGAAGGUGAAUAUCCUAUGUCAGUUCGGCUAGAUAUCCAGACAUUUGGUCAAACACCAGUUUAAGUAUCACUGUGAAGGCAUUUUUUGGAUGAGAUUAACAUUUACAGGAGUUGCUAUCGUGGUGCAGUGGUUAACCAAUCUGACUGGGAACCAUGAGGUUGCAGGUUUGAUCCCUGCCCUUGCUCAGUGGGUUAACGAUCCGGCAUUGCUGUGGCUGUGGUGU
Molecule: long non-coding RNA, 4565 nt
Filed under: Sus scrofa (pig)
Lineage: Eukaryota; Metazoa; Chordata; Mammalia; Artiodactyla; Suidae
Description: lncRNA (ENSSSCG00035029662.1)
Rfam family: Pvt1 oncogene conserved region 5 (bases 456-576)
Source: RNAcentral